UUUGGUUAAGUUAGAAAGGGCGCACGGUGGAUGCCUUGACACUAGGAGUCGAUGAAGGACGGGACUAACGCCGAUAUGCUUCGGGGAGCUGUAAGUAAGCUUUGAUCCGAAGAUUUCCGAAUGGGGAAACCCACCAUACGUAAUGGUAUGGUAUCCUUAUCUGAAUACAUAGGGUAAGGAAGACAGACCCAGGGAACUGAAACAUCUAAGUACCUGGAGGAAGAGAAAGCAAAUGCGAUUUCCUGAGUAGCGGCGAGCGAAACGGAACAUAGCCCAAACCAAGAGGCUUGCCUCUUGGGGUUGUAGGACAUUCUAUACGGAGUUACAAAGGAACGAGGUAGACGAAGCGACCUGGAAAGGUCCGUCGUAGAGGGUAACAACCCCGUAGUCGAAACUUCGUUCUCUCUUGAAUGUAUCCUGAGUACGGCGGAACACGUGAAAUUCCGUCGGAAUCUGGGAGGACCAUCUCCCAAGGCUAAAUACUCCCUAGUGAUCGAUAGUGAACCAGUACCGUGAGGGAAAGGUGAAAAGCACCCCGGAAGGGGAGUGAAAGAGAUCCUGAAACCGUGUGCCUACAAAUAGUCAGAGCCCGUUAACGGGUGAUGGCGUGCCUUUUGUAGAAUGAACCGGCGAGUUACGAUCCCGUGCGAGGUUAAGCUGAAGAGGCGGAGCCGCAGCGAAAGCGAGUCUGAAUAGGGCGUUUAGUACGUGGUCGUAGACCCGAAACCAGGUGAUCUACCCAUGUCCAGGGUGAAGUUCAGGUAACACUGAAUGGAGGCCCGAACCCACGCACGUUGAAAAGUGCGGGGAUGAGGUGUGGGUAGCGGAGAAAUUCCAAUCGAACCUGGAGAUAGCUGGUUCUCCCCGAAAUAGCUUUAGGGCUAGCCUUAAGUGUAAGAGUCUUGGAGGUAGAGCACUGAUUGGACUAGGGGUCCUCAUCGGAUUACCGAAUUCAGUCAAACUCCGAAUGCCAAUGACUUAUCCUUAGGAGUCAGACUGCGAGUGAUAAGAUCCGUAGUCAAAAGGGAAACAGCCCAGACCGCCAGCUAAGGUCCCAAAGUGUGUAUUAAGUGGAAAAGGAUGUGGAGUUGCUUAGACAACUAGGAUGUUGGCUUAGAAGCAGCCACCAUUUAAAGAGUGCGUAAUAGCUCACUAGUCGAGUGACUCUGCGCCGAAAAUGUACCGGGGCUAAAUACACCACCGAAGCUGCGGAUUGAUACCAAUGGUAUCAGUGGUAGGGGAGCGUUCUAAGGACAGUGAAGUCAGACCGUAAGGACUGGUGGAGUGCUUAGAAGUGAGAAUGCCGGUAUGAGUAGCGAAAGACGGGUGAGAAUCCCGUCCACCGAAUGCCUAAGGUUUCCUGAGGAAGGCUCGUCCGCUCAGGGUUAGUCAGGACCUAAGCCGAGGCCGACAGGCGUAGGCGAUGGACAACAGGUUGAUAUUCCUGUACCACCUCUUUAUCGUUUGAGCAAUGGAGGGACGCAGAAGGAUAGAAGAAGCGUGCGAUUGGUUGUGCACGUCCAAGCAGUUAGGCUGAUAAGUAGGCAAAUCCGCUUAUCGUGAAGGCUGAGCUGUGAUGGGGAAGCUCCUUAUGGAGCGAAGUCUUUGAUUCCCCGCUGCCAAGAAAAGCUUCUAGCGAGAUAAAAGGUGCCUGUACCGCAAACCGACACAGGUAGGCGAGGAGAGAAUCCUAAGGUGUGCGAGAGAACUCUGGUUAAGGAACUCGGCAAAAUGACCCCGUAACUUCGGGAGAAGGGGUGCUUUCUUAACGGAAAGCCGCAGUGAAUAGGCCCAAGCGACUGUUUAGCAAAAACACAGCUCUCUGCGAAGCCGUAAGGCGAAGUAUAGGGGGUGACACCUGCCCGGUGCUGGAAGGUUAAGGAGAGGGGUUAGCGUAAGCGAAGCUCUGAACUGAAGCCCCAGUAAACGGCGGCCGUAACUAUAACGGUCCUAAGGUAGCGAAAUUCCUUGUCGGGUAAGUUCCGACCCGCACGAAAGGUGUAACGAUUUGGGCACUGUCUCAACCAGAGACUCGGUGAAAUUAUAGUACCUGUGAAGAUGCAGGUUACCCGCGACAGGACGGAAAGACCCCGUGGAGCUUUACUGUAGCCUGAUAUUGAAUUUUGGUACAGUUUGUACAGGAUAGGCGGGAGCCAUUGAAACCGGAGCGCUAGCUUCGGUGGAGGCGCUGGUGGGAUACCGCCCUGACUGUAUUGAAAUUCUAACCUACGGGUC
RNAcentral lists this ribosomal RNA (2235 nucleotides) under Bacillus thuringiensis. Its description in RNAcentral is "partial 23S ribosomal RNA". It matches the Rfam family "Bacterial large subunit ribosomal RNA", at positions 1 to 2235 of the family's 2925-position model. Lineage: Bacteria; Bacillati; Bacillota; Bacilli; Caryophanales; Bacillaceae. The record is from RNAcentral.